AUGCUUGUCUCAAAGAUUAAGCCAUGCAUGUCUAAGUAUAAACAACUUUAUACUGUAAAACUGCGAACGGCUCAUUAUAUCAGCAAUAAUUUAUUUGAUGAUUUCUUACUACAUGGAUAACUGUAGUAAUUCUAGAGCUAAUACAUGCGCAAAGUCCUAACUCGCGAGGGGAGGGAUGUAUUUAUUAGAUACAAAACCAAUGCGGGUUCUGCCCGCCAUUGUGUUGAAUCAUAGUAACUUAUCGAACGCCAUAGCCUUGUGCUGGGCGUAGAUCAUUCAAAUUUCUGCCCUAUCAGCUUUCGACGGUAGUGUAGUGGACUACCGUGGCGUUAACGGGUAACGGGGAAUA
Molecule: ribosomal RNA, 349 nt
Filed under: uncultured fungus
Lineage: Eukaryota; Fungi
Description: SSU rRNA
Rfam family: Eukaryotic small subunit ribosomal RNA
Source: RNAcentral